Molecule: transfer RNA, 84 nt
Filed under: Naumovozyma castellii
Lineage: Eukaryota; Fungi; Ascomycota; Saccharomycetes; Saccharomycetales; Saccharomycetaceae
Description: tRNA-Leu
Rfam family: tRNA
About the family: Transfer RNA (tRNA) molecules are approximately 80 nucleotides in length. Their secondary structure includes four short double-helical elements and three loops (D, anti-codon, and T loops).
Source: RNAcentral
GGGAGGUUGGCCGAGUGGUUUAAGGCGUCAGAUUUAGGUAUUCUGAUAUCUUCGGAUGCGUGGGUUCGAACCCCACACCUCUCA